UGGGGGAUAUUGCACAAUGGGGGAAACCCUGAUGCAGCGACGCCGCGUGGAGGAAGAAGGUUUUCGGAUUGUAAACUCCUGUCGUUAGGGACGAUAAUGACGGUACCUAACAAGAAAGCACCGGCUAACUACGUGCCAGCAGCCGCGGUAAAACGUAGGGUGCAAGCGUUGUCCGGAAUUACUGGGUGUAAAGGGAGCGCAGGCGGACCGGCAAGUUGGAAGUGAAAACUAUGGGCUCAACCCAUAAAUUGCUUUCAAAACUGCUGGCCUUGAGUAGUGCAGAGGUAGGUGGAAUUCCCGGUGUAGCGGUGGAAUGCGUAGAUAUCGGGAGGAACACCAGUGGCGAAGGCGACCUACUGGGCACCAACUGACGCUGAGGCUCGAAAGCAUGGGUAGCAAACAGGAUUAGAUACCCUGGUAGUCCAUGCCGUAAACGAUGAUUACUAGGUGUUGGAGGAUUGACCCCUUCAGUACCGCAGUUAACACAAUAAGUAAUCCACCUGGGGAGUACGACCGCAAGGUUGAAACUCAAAGGAAUUGACGGGGGCCCGCACAAGCAGUGGAGUAUGUGGUUUAAUUCGAAGCAACGCGAAGAACCUUACCAGGUCUUGACAUCCGAUGCAUAGCUUAGAGAUAAGUGAAGUCCUUCGGGACAUCGAGACAGGUGGUGCAUGGUUGUCGUCAGCUCGUGUCGUGAGAUGUUGGGUUAAGUCCCGCAACGAGCGCAACCCUUAUUGCCAGUUACUACGAAAGAGGACUCUGGCGAGACUGCCGUUGACAAAACGGAGGAAGGUGGGGAUGACGUCAAAUCAUCAUGCCCUUUAUGACCUGGGCUACACACGUACUACAAUGGCGUUUAACAAAGAGAAGCAAGACCGCGAGGUGGAGCAAAACUCAAAAACAACGUCUCAGUUCAGAUUGCAGGCUGCAACUCGCCUGCAUGAAGUCGGAAUUGCUAGUAAUCGCGGAUCAGCAUGCCGCGGUGAAUACGUUCCC
This 996-nucleotide ribosomal RNA is filed under the name uncultured organism. Its description in RNAcentral is "bacterial SSU rRNA". It matches the Rfam family "Bacterial small subunit ribosomal RNA", at positions 355 to 1375 of the family's 1533-position model. The record is from RNAcentral.